UUAGAUGUCCGGGGCCGCACGCGCGCUACACUGAAGGAAUCAGCGUGUGCUUUCCCCGUCCGGCAGGACUGGGUAACCCGAUGAACCUCCUUCGUGAUAGGGAUAGGGGCUUGUAAUUGUUCCCCUUGAACGAGGAAUUCCCAGUAAGCACGAGUCAUAAGCUCGUGUUGAUUACGUCCCUGCCCUUUGUACACACCGCCCGUCGCUACUACCGAUUGAAUGAUUUAGUGAGGUCCUCGGACUGGCGCCCGGAGCGGACUCCGUGCCGGGCCGGAGUGCCGGAAAGAUGACCGAACUUGAUCAUUUAGAGGAAGUAAAAGUCGUAACAAGGUUACC
RNAcentral lists this ribosomal RNA (336 nucleotides) under Ninetinae gen. n. sp. Om6. RNAcentral describes it as "SSU rRNA". It matches the Rfam family "Eukaryotic small subunit ribosomal RNA", at positions 1473 to 1804 of the family's 1831-position model. The record is from RNAcentral. Lineage: Eukaryota; Metazoa; Arthropoda; Arachnida; Araneae; Pholcidae.